RNAcentral lists this ribosomal RNA (406 nucleotides) under uncultured Microbacteriaceae bacterium. RNAcentral's name for it is "bacterial SSU rRNA". It matches the Rfam family "Bacterial small subunit ribosomal RNA", at positions 356 to 774 of the family's 1533-position model. The record is from RNAcentral. Lineage: Bacteria; Bacillati; Actinomycetota; Actinomycetes; Micrococcales; Microbacteriaceae.
GGGGAAUAUUGCACAAUGGGCGGAAGCCUGAUGCAGCAACGCCGCGUGAGGGAUGACGGCCUUCGGGUUGUAAACCUCUUUUAGCAAGGAAGAAGCGAAAGUGACGGUACUUGCAGAAAAAGCGCCGGCUAACUACGUGCCAGCAGCCGCGGUAAUACGUAGGGCGCAAGCGUUAUCCGGAAUUAUUGGGCGUAAAGAGCUCGUAGGCGGUUUGUCGCGUCUGCUGUGAAAACCCGAGGCUCAACCUCGGGCCUGCAGUGGGUACGGGCAGACUAGAGUGCGGUAGGGGAGAUUGGAAUUCCUGGUGUAGCGGUGGAAUGCGCAGAUAUCAGGAGGAACACCGAUGGCGAAGGCAGAUCUCUGGGCCGCAACUGACGCUGAGGAGCGAAAGCAUGGGGAGCGAACA